This 855-nucleotide long non-coding RNA is filed under the name Ictidomys tridecemlineatus (thirteen-lined ground squirrel). RNAcentral describes it as "lncRNA (ENSSTOG00000031860.1)". The record is from RNAcentral. Lineage: Eukaryota; Metazoa; Chordata; Mammalia; Rodentia; Sciuridae.
GCCUCAGCAUGGCAUCUGUGUGACAGCCAAUUCUUCAGGCUUUGUGGGCUCUGGACAUUUUUCUCUAACUGUGCACAACACCAGUGUACUCAGUGUGUUCCAGAAGAGUUGCCCUGGCAGGUGGAACAUGUGAGACCCACUCCCAGCCUCCUAUCCUGCGUAUUCCGUGACAACUCGGGGACCUGGCGGUAGAGAAGGUGCUCAGCCUUGGGCCCUGCACUGGCUCUGGCCAACCUUCCUCAGCCUGUGGUCAGCCUGCACAUUUUUCCUGGAGAGGGGCCAGUGUGUCAGGAGUGGGUUGGAGAGCACAGGCUUGGACAGAAGCAAGGAGAAGGAACGGGAAACUCUGGAUUUGGCAAAGAACAAGGAAAUGUUGGGAAAUCCUCACUGGCAGGGUCUCCACGAAGGUCAGAGGUCAGGACUAAGAUGGGAGCGGGUCCAGAGGGAGUCAGGAAACUUGUGCAGCAGAGCAGGGAACUGUGGAGCCCACAGCUAGAGGGCUGGUGUCACCCAGUGACAGCCCCCCCUGGGACACAGAAUUGCCCCCAUGACAGCCCCCCCGGGACAAGGAACUAUUCCAGUGACAGCCCCCACCUGGGACAUAACACCAUCCUGGGACACGGAAGCAUCUGGGGCACAGCACCGUCCCUGCAAUCGCCCGUUUGGGAUGAGCACCCUUGCAGGAGGCCAAGGCAGAUGAACAUUGUCCCCCGCCAGCCUCAAGCCUGCAUUUCGCUUUCCUUGUCAAGUGGACAAAGGUGAUCUUCCUGCAAUUCACAUCCAAGCAUCCUUUGAAGCCCCUCGUGACUCCUCAUAGUGAGCUGGCCUUCUAGAAUGCAGUCUCCACCAACCUCA